UGUAGUCAUAUGCUUGUCUCAAAGAUUAAGCCAUGCAUGUCUAAGUAUAAGCAAUCUAUACAGUGAAACUGCGAAUGGCUCAUUAAAUCAGUUAUCGUUUAUUUGAUAGUACCUUACUACUUGGAUAACCGUGGUAAUUCUAGAGCUAAUACAUGCUAAAAACCUCGACUUCGGAAGGGGUGUAUUUAUUAGAUAAAAAACCAAUGCCCUUCGGGGCUCCUUGGUGAUUCAUGAUAACUUAACGAAUCGCAUGGCCUUGUGCCGGCGAUGGUUCAUUCAAAUUUCCGCCCUAUCAACUUUCGAUGGUAGGAUAGUGGCCUACCAUGGUUUCAACGGGUAACGGGGAAUUAGGGUUCUAUUCCGGAGAGGGAGCCUGAGAAACGGCUACCACAUCCAAGGAAGGCAGCAGGCGCGCAAAUUACCCAAUCCCGACACGGGGAGGUAGUGACAAUAAAUACUGAUACAGGGCUCUUUUGGGUCUUGUAAUUGGAAUGAGUACAAUUUAAAUCCCUUAACGAGGAACAAUUGGAGGGCAAGUCUGGAAUCG
Molecule: ribosomal RNA, 547 nt
Filed under: uncultured eukaryote
Lineage: Eukaryota
Description: SSU rRNA
Rfam family: Eukaryotic small subunit ribosomal RNA
Source: RNAcentral